Long non-coding RNA from Agelaius phoeniceus (red-winged blackbird), 3973 nucleotides. RefSeq lists it as uncharacterized. The record is from RefSeq and is a predicted model, not a curated record. Lineage: Eukaryota; Metazoa; Chordata; Aves; Passeriformes; Icteridae.
CCGCGAGGGGUGAGGGGACAGGGGUCGGUGCUCACCCGGAGGGGCACGGCUGGGACGUGCUAGCACGGGGCAGGUAUCUGAGGUUGGCAGCUGGAGCCGGGGGACUCCUGGAGCAGUGGCUGCAGGGACAGGACUGAGGUGGGGACACUGCUGUGUCUUCCUUCAGUACACCAUGGAGCAUCACCCGAGGUCAUAUUUAUGCCUGUUUUCUAGAAACCAAGGAAAGGUCACUUGUCAAGGUCAUCUGGUGCCGAACGAGUCUCUCCAGUCCAAAUACAUUUUUAAUUCCGUCAUUCCCUGUAAAGCAAACAAGUGGGAAUUGUUGAUGUAAGAUAGAUGUUGGGGUCAUGCCAGCACUAUAAUUACCCAGUGACAGGGUGUUAGGAUUAGGGAUAUGGGAGAUGGCAGAAAGAGCUGGCAGCUGUGGAGGACAGGAGUGCAGCUGGGCCAGGCACUUUAGCAGUGGAUGAGGGGAAAAGCAGCAGUCAAGGUAAGGCAGUGCAGUGUAUGACACAAAGCAUGAUUGAUAUGUUCUUAGUUGUAGCACAGUAAAAUCUCAGGGCUGUCUUCAUUUUGUUUUCCUUUAUUUUUGACUGCAGUGUGAUUUGGGGAAGGGAGGUUGAUUUGUAACAGACUAGUUUUUUUCCAACAAUCCAGUGAGAAAACGACAGCAAAACUAGGCUGUAGCAUCUGUGUUUGAAACAGAGAAAUGAAAUCCAAGAUUAAAGUCUGAUUUUGUGAAGACAAAAACAAACAACGGAGAGGUGGAAUGUUUAGAAGUGUUUAUCCGUAGUUUUAAUUCUCCUGACAGGGGAAAAAAAAUCUGGCACGUCACUUCAUGGCUUUCAUCAGCUUAUGAGAUUGUACUACUCUGAUAAAUAUAAUCAUAAUUUGCUCUUACUAAUUAUUUUAAUGAGUGGAAAUUCUCUGUGGCUGUUGCUUACAGCAUACAAGGUGCCAUAACUAAUCAAAGGGAGGAGGAAAGGUAUAAAAAGAAGAUGGAGAAAGUGAGAAUAAAUUUAGGUCCAUUAGGAAUUACAUUUGAGGGAAUGAGUUGCAAAAGUAGAAAUAAUAAUUGAGAGCACUUUGGAACUGCAAAGUGUAAAAAGUGGGGACAAAGGGUACUACAGGUGUUGGAAUGAAAAGAAUGUUUCUGAGAGCAUUGGGUUCAUGUUUAAUGGAGAAAGGAGACUGGAAGUAAAAUUAGAGAUGAAAAAGAUCCAUUACCAUCUAUAGGGCCUAAGAGAAUCAAGUAAAAUAAUAAACUGAGCAGUGGAUACAUUUCUCUGAUGUUCUAAGUAUUUAUAAUAACAUAAUAAUAUAAUAUAACUGUGUCAUUUAAACUGUAAGCCACUGGCAUAUUAUGUUUUCCUGCACCCUUCUUCAUCCCCUGGAGAAAUCCCACUGGGACAGGCUCACGCAAUGGUACGUGCCUUUCCAGUUCUCUUUGGCACUGCCAAAUGGCUCAUGUAACAGCUGAGCUGUCCCCACUGCUCAUCCAGGACGUGAAUCUGACCCUUCCUUCUCUGCAGGAGUGCCAGCUCUCAGUGGAGCUGCGUGGGUGUAGUCAUCCCUCAGGCUUUUCAGCUCCUAUUUCAAAUUGCCUGAUGAGUUCAGAAGUUAUCAGGGGCAGAGUCAAAGGCUAAGAUGAAAAUACAGAAAGCAGUUGCAUUCUGAAAUGAGGAUACAAUUGUUGUAUGGGUAUUUUAUGAGGUGUCUGCUGCUUAUCAGAAAGUGUCCAUCCCAUUUCCAUCCACUGUGGAAAGCAACAUGUGGGUGAGGAGUUGAGUGUGAAGUGCUUGGCUGCUGUGCUGUGCUCGGAGGAGGAGGAGAAAGGGAGGAGGAGGAGGGAAGUGUCGGCUCCUGCUGCGUUUCUGCAGACGCUGUCACACAGCUGAAGCAGGCAAGCGCCUCGCAGCCAUGUUAGGUAAGGGCAGCAGGAGCCAACUGUGUCCCUCCUUUUUCUGGGCAGGAAGUCCAUGAAAAUGUUUUGAUAGCCAUGAUAGCUGAGGGCAGAAAGAGCCCGUUCCAUAGCCAUCUUGGAUAAGGGAAAGGGAGCUCUGUAGGGGACUGCCACUGUCACAUUUAUCCCCUAAAGAGCUGGUGUCUGUUUCAGGAGGAUGAAAUGCAGCUGACAUAGUUCAUGUGCAUACCUGAAAAACAUCUAGAUUUUGGCUUCUAAAACAUUUUGAACCAAGCUGUCAAAAGUAACGAAAUGUUUCAGAGAAGUUUUCUCCAGUGUUAAAAAAAUUGGUUCUAAUUAUCACCCCAGAUUUAGUGAAGAGGUUACAUAUUUUUAUUUUAGCGCUAUUAUUGUUCUUAAAUUCCAGACUUAUUUUCUGUUUGUGAUCUUUUAACUCUCUGACUGGUUAUGUAAAGAACAAUUGCAUUAUCUUUUGGCAUUAAUUUUGAAAGAAUAAGCAAUUCUACCAGUUCAAUCCUCUCUUGUCAGGUAGGUUCUCCAUUUAUUCAAUUUUCUUUCAGAUCCUUCCCUGCUCCUAUUUCUGGUUUGCAUUAAAAAAAGGAUACUUGUAUCCAGUAUACAAAUGAGUGUCUUACCAAGAUAACAUUGACAUUAAUGUUAUAUAUGUAGUGAGCAUAUACGCAAUGUACUAUUCAAUUUAGAUUAUGUAAUAAAUAUGAGUAUUUUAUACAAUGAUUUUAAAUAUGUUAUUUAUUAUGUGCUAUAUAUCCUAUCUGUUUAUAUAUACAAUGUACAUUGCAUAGUAUAUUGAUAACACAUGUAUUUGGUAUAUAUACAUAAGUAUAAUGUAACAUGCAUGCCAUUAAUACAUGUUGUGCUAAUAUAUAGCUAAUUUUACGUGCAGUGUUUUUUCAUUUCAAAGUAAAUCGGGCAAGUUGAAAUGGCCUUUUUACUGCUUUAUCAUUUUAGCAGACCAUAGUCAUCGUGUGACCAGCUCUUAUUUGCAUUUCUAAUAAUAUAUCAAUUUAACAGUCAAUAUUAAUAUUGACUUUUUAAAAUGUUUGAUGUUUUCUGUGGCUGUUUGAAAAAUGGAAAAGAUGCUUUAAAAAUAAUUAUGACUUUUUUGUGUGUGUGUGUUUAUUUGUUUUAACUGAAUGUAUUUAUUAGACCAAAUAUAAUUUUCAAAUACAAAUAAAAUACUGCUUUAAACUGAAAUCUCGAGGCGGGGGAUGGAGUGGAAGAUGAGAUGAGCAGAUGAUGUUUAUGCAGUUCUUUGGUGUUUCUCUGUGGAUGUGAGCAGUCUGCACAGUCACUCCCUGCUGAAGCUGAUGGAGCCUGGCCAGCCAGCAGCCAACACAGCAUUUGCUGCUACCUGAUAGAAACCAUCCUGCUGAGAGAUCACAGCUGUAGGAGCAAGAUAGAGCAUGGAAGAAAGCAAGGCAGGCUCAAACACUGAGCAGUUGUGGAUCUUUAGAACCCAGCUGUCCCACAUAGGCCUUUUCUCAUUUUUAUUCCAGCAACUGACAUCAAGGGCAUGCUUUUUCUAGCAGUGUCUCCUGUCCAAACCCUUCCAGAUAUUAACAGAUGGCUGUAUUUCUGCAAAACAAGGCAGAGUUCCUGGAGAUUCGUAAGGGCAUAUUCCAUAUGCAGAGCCCUAGUGUUUUAUGAGGCUUUAUUGCAAGUUGCAGCAAAAUGCUCUCAGUUAGUUGGUUCCCAGCUCUGAAGUCUGUUUUUUGUCCUGCAUUGAUGCUUCUCGAAGAAGAAACUCAGUUGUUUCUAAAUGUUACAAUACAUGCAGAAAUAUUUUUCUUUCUCAGCUGAAGGAGAUAAUCCCAUUUUAUCAAAACUAAAAUGUAUUUAAAAUGGCUAAGUGAAAAUCUUUCUGAAUCACUGUUUAUUGGGAAUAUCUCCAGUAGGUAAGAAUUCUUUCUUCUGUACUUCUUUUAUCAGGGAUCAUGUGUCUAUUCUCUUAAAUUUCUCCUGCCAAAAGAUUAUUUGUUAAGCAUCCAGUAGAAUUAAUUUACUGUUUUAUAAAAUGUAUCACUCUUA